CUUUAAGUCUCCUGAAGGAACGUUGAAGACGACGACGUUGAUAGGCCGGGUGUGUAAGCGCAGCGAUGCGUUGAGCUAACCGGUACUAAUGAACCGUGAGGCUUAACCUUACAACGCCGAAG
RNAcentral lists this ribosomal RNA (122 nucleotides) under Klebsiella pneumoniae. Its description in RNAcentral is "partial 23S ribosomal RNA". It matches the Rfam family "Bacterial large subunit ribosomal RNA", at positions 2813 to 2925 of the family's 2925-position model. Lineage: Bacteria; Pseudomonadati; Pseudomonadota; Gammaproteobacteria; Enterobacterales; Enterobacteriaceae. RNAcentral also lists the same sequence under 1 other name. The record is from RNAcentral.